Cavia aperea (Brazilian guinea pig) is the source of this 118-nucleotide ribosomal RNA. The record is from Ensembl. Lineage: Eukaryota; Metazoa; Chordata; Mammalia; Rodentia; Caviidae.
GUCUACAGCCAUACCACCCUGAACGCGCCCGAUCUCGUCUGAUCUCGGAAGCUAGCAGGGUAGGGCCUGGUUAGUACUUGGAUGGGAGACCACCUGGGAAUACUGGAUACUGCAGGCU